GAGAGAUCAGGCUGGCAGCUUGUAAUUGUUGACCGAGAGAAUGAUGUCCUCCUCCUCGGUGACGAUCCUUGGCAGGAGUUUGUGAACAAUGUUUGGUACAUCAAGAUACUUUCUCCACAUGAAGUGCAACAGAUAGGGAAAGAGGGACUUGAUCUUCCAAAUGGUGUCCAAGCGCAGACGCUUCCUGGCAAUGUCAAUGGAUGUGAUGAUUAUAUGAACCAGAAGGGCUCCCGAAAUACUAUGAACGGGAUACCAUUGGGGUCACUUGACUACUAAUGACCAUUAGUGUGAUCUGCCUAAGGUAAUUGUACUGUAUAGUUGUUGUUGCCCUUGGUUAAUGUCUGCAAAUUUUUUGUACCCUGUUGUGUCUUAAGUGUCAUGUAUCUUUUCUAUCUAAAGACAAGGGCCAAGUCUCAUUUGUAGCUUGUUACCCCAGAGAAGUACAAUGUAAAUUAUAAAUAUUUUAUUAU
RNAcentral lists this unclassified non-coding RNA (470 nucleotides) under Hevea brasiliensis (rubber tree). Lineage: Eukaryota; Viridiplantae; Streptophyta; Magnoliopsida; Malpighiales; Euphorbiaceae. The record is from RNAcentral.